RNAcentral lists this ribosomal RNA (253 nucleotides) under uncultured bacterium. RNAcentral describes it as "partial 16S ribosomal RNA". It matches the Rfam family "Bacterial small subunit ribosomal RNA", at positions 524 to 776 of the family's 1533-position model. The record is from RNAcentral.
UACGUAGGGUGCAGGCGUUAAUCGGAAUUACUGGGCGUAAAGCGUGCGCAGGCGGUUUGCUAAGACAGAUGUGAAAUCCCCGGGCUCAACCUGGGAACUGCAUUUGUGACUGCAUAGCUGGAGUGCGGCAGAGGGGGAUGGAAUUCCGCGUGUAGCAGUGAAAUGCGUAGAUAUGCGGAGGAACACCGAUGGCGAAGGCAAUCCCCUGGGCCUGCACUGACGCUCAUGCACGAAAGCGUGGGGAGCAAACAGG